Molecule: ribosomal RNA, 253 nt
Filed under: uncultured bacterium
Lineage: Bacteria
Description: partial 16S ribosomal RNA
Rfam family: Bacterial small subunit ribosomal RNA
Source: RNAcentral
GACAGAGGGUGCAAACGUUGCUCGGAAUUACUGGGCGUAAAGCGCGUGUAGGCGGCCCGGUAAGUCCGCUGUGAAAGUCGGGGGCUCAACCCUCGAAUGCCGGUGGAUACUGUCGGGCUAGAGUGCGGGAGAGGCGAGUGGAAUUCCUGGUGUAGCGGUGAAAUGCGCAGAUAUCAGGAGGAACACCAAUUGCGAAGGCAGCUCGCUGGAACGUAACUGACGCUGAGACGCGAAAGCGUGGGGAGCAAACAGG